GGUGAGGUGGCCGAGUGGCUGAAGGUACUCCCCUGCUAAGGGAGCGUGGGUCUUAAAGCCCACCGAGGGUUCGAAUCCCUCUCUCACCGCCA
RNAcentral lists this transfer RNA (92 nucleotides) under Acinetobacter sp. Its description in RNAcentral is "tRNA-Ser". It matches the Rfam family "tRNA". Rfam says of the family: Transfer RNA (tRNA) molecules are approximately 80 nucleotides in length. The record is from RNAcentral. Lineage: Bacteria; Pseudomonadati; Pseudomonadota; Gammaproteobacteria; Moraxellales; Moraxellaceae. RNAcentral also lists the same sequence under 28 other names.